UUAAGCGACUAAGCGUACACGGUGGAUGCCCUGGCAGUCAGAGGCGAUGAAGGGCGUGCUAAUCUGCGAUAAGCGCCGGUAAGGUGAUAUGAACCGUUAUAACCGGCGAUACCCGAAUGGGGAAACCCAGUGUGACUCGUCACACUAUCAUUAACUGAAUCCAUAGGUUAAUGAGGCGAACCGGGGGAACUGAAACAUCUAAGUACCCCGAGGAAAAGAAAUCAACCGAGAUUCCCCCAGUAGCGGCGAGCGAACGGGGAGGAGCCCAGAGCCUGAAUCAGCAUGUGUGUUAGUGGAAGCGUCUGGAAAGGCGCGCGAUACAGGGUGACAGCCCCGUACACAAAAGCGCAUAUGCUGUGAGCUCGAUGAGUAGGGCGGGACACGUGGUAUCCUGUCUGAAUAUGGGGGGACCAUCCUCCAAGGCUAAAUACUCCUGACUGACCGAUAGUGAACCAGUACCGUGAGGGAAAGGCGAAAAGAACCCCGGCGAGGGGAGUGAAAAAGAACCUGAAACCGUGUACGUACAAGCAGUGGGAGCACCCUUUGGGGUGUGACUGCGUACCUUUUGUAUAAUGGGUCAGCGACUUAUAUUCUGUAGCAAGGUUAACCGAAUAGGGGAGCCGGAGGGAAACCGAGUCUUAAUUGGGCGUUAAGUUGCAGGGUAUAGACCCGAAACCCGGUGAUCUAGCCAUGGGCAGGUUGAAGGUUGGGUAACACUAACUGGAGGACCGAACCGACUAAUGUUGAAAAAUUAGCGGAUGACCUGUGGCUGGGGGUGAAAGGCCAAUCAAACCGGGAGAUAGCUGGUUCUCCCCGAAAGCUAUUUAGGUAGCGCCUCGUGAAUUCAUCUCCGGGGGUAGAGCACUGUUUCGGCUAGGGGGCCAUCCCGGCUUACCAACCCGAUGCAAACUGCGAAUACCGGAGAAUGUUAUCACGGGAGACACACGGCGGGUGCUAACGUCCGUCGUGAAGAGGGAAACAACCCAGACCGCCAGCUAAGGUCCCAAAGUCAUGGUUAAGUGGGAAACGAUGUGGGAAGGCCCAGACAGCCAGGAUGUUGGCUUAGAAGCAGCCAUCAUUUAAAGAAAGCGUAAUAGCUCACUGGUCGAGUCGGCCUGCGCGGAAGAUGUAACGGGGCUAAACCAUGCACCGAAGCUGCGGCAGCGAACGUAUCACUUAAAGCGAUUCAGCGGAUGACGAUUGACGGAGCGAAGCGACGUCAAAGCGUAUACAAAGUCGAGUCGGUUUAAGGAUACGUUCGUUGGGUAGGGGAGCGUUCUGUAAGCCUGUGAAGGUGUGCUGUGAGGCAUGCUGGAGGUAUCAGAAGUGCGAAUGCUGACAUAAGUAACGAUAAAGCGGGUGAAAAGCCCGCUCGCCGGAAGACCAAGGGUUCCUGUCCAACGUUAAUCGGGGCAGGGUGAGUCGACCCCUAAGGCGAGGCCGAAAGGCGUAGUCGAUGGGAAACGGGUUAAUAUUCCCGUACUUGGUGUUACUGCGAAGGGGGGACGGAGAAGGCUAUGUUGGCCGGGCGACGGUUGUCCCGGUUUAAGCGUGUAGGUGUGUGUUCCAGGUAAAUCCGGUUCACUUUAACACUGAGGCGUGACGACGAGGCACUACGGUGCUGAAGCAACAAAUGCCCUGCUUCCAGGAAAAGCCUCUAAGCAUCAGGUAACAUCAAAUCGUACCCCAAACCGACACAGGUGGUCAGGUAGAGAAUACCAAGGCGCUUGAGAGAACUCGGGUGAAGGAACUAGGCAAAAUGGUGCCGUAACUUCGGGAGAAGGCACGCUGACACGUAGGUGAAGUGAUUUACUCAUGGAGCUGAAGUCAGUCGAAGAUACCAGCUGGCUGCAACUGUUUAUUAAAAACACAGCACUGUGCAAACACGAAAGUGGACGUAUACGGUGUGACGCCUGCCCGGUGCCGGAAGGUUAAUUGAUGGGGUCAGCGCAAGCGAAGCUCCUGAUCGAAGCCCCGGUAAACGGCGGCCGUAACUAUAACGGUCCUAAGGUAGCGAAAUUCCUUGUCGGGUAAGUUCCGACCUGCACGAAUGGCGUAAUGAUGGCCAGGCUGUCUCCACCCGAGACUCAGUGAAAUUGAACUCGCUGUGAAGAUGCAGUGUACCCGCGGCAAGACGGAAAGACCCCGUGAACCUUUACUAUAGCUUGACACUGAACAUUGAGCCUUGAUGUGUAGGAUAGGUGGGAGGCUUUGAAGUGUGGACGCCAGUCUGCAUGGAGCCGACCUUGAAAUACCACCCUUUAAUGUUUGAUGUUCUAACGUGGACCCGUGAUCCGGGUUGCGGACAGUGUCUGGUGGGUAGUUUGACUGGGGCGGUCUCCUCCUAAAGAGUAACGGAGGAGCACGAAGGUUGGCUAAUCCUGGUCGGACAUCAGGAGGUUAGUGCAAUGGCAUAAGCCAGCUUGACUGCGAGCGUGACGGCGCGAGCAGGUGCGAAAGCAGGUCAUAGUGAUCCGGUGGUUCUGAAUGGAAGGGCCAUCGCUCAACGGAUAAAAGGUACUCCGGGGAUAACAGGCUGAUACCGCCCAAGAGUUCAUAUCGACGGCGGUGUUUGGCACCUCGAUGUCGGCUCAUCACAUCCUGGGGCUGAAGUAGGUCCCAAGGGUAUGGCUGUUCGCCAUUUAAAGUGGUACGCGAGCUGGGUUUAGAACGUCGUGAGACAGUUCGGUCCCUAUCUGCCGUGGGCGCUGGAGAACUGAGGGGGGCUGCUCCUAGUACGAGAGGACCGGAGUGGACGCAUCACUGGUGUUCGGGUUGUCAUGCCAAUGGCACUGCCCGGUAGCUAAAUGCGGAAGAGAUAAGUGCUGAAAGCAUCUAAGCACGAAACUUGCCCCGAGAUGAGUUCUCCCUGAGACUUAAAGUCUCCUGAAGGAACGUUGAAGACGACGACGUUGAUAGGCCGGGUGUGUAAGCGCAGCGAUGCGUUGAGCUAACCGGUACUAAUGAACCGUGAGGCUUAACCUU
RNAcentral lists this ribosomal RNA (2985 nucleotides) under Salmonella enterica subsp. enterica serovar Give. RNAcentral describes it as "bacterial LSU rRNA". It matches the Rfam family "Bacterial large subunit ribosomal RNA". Lineage: Bacteria; Pseudomonadati; Pseudomonadota; Gammaproteobacteria; Enterobacterales; Enterobacteriaceae. The record is from RNAcentral.